Molecule: ribosomal RNA, 1150 nt
Filed under: Ziziphus jujuba (common jujube)
Lineage: Eukaryota; Viridiplantae; Streptophyta; Magnoliopsida; Rosales; Rhamnaceae
Description: bacterial SSU rRNA
Rfam family: Bacterial small subunit ribosomal RNA (bases 325-1150)
Source: RNAcentral
GAUUUGCUUGAGUAUCUCGGAGUCAAAGAAUUUAAGCCAAAAUACCAAAUGAAAGUAGAUCGAUUUUUUUUUCAUUCCCAAGGAAGUGCAUAUUUUACCCAAAUCUUCUUCCAUAAUGGUAUGGAACAAUAGUAUCAUCGGAGUAUACGGACCAUUUUAAAUAUAAGAAGUUGAGCAAGCAGAUUGGUACGAGUGGAGAGAAAAAAAUAUAUAUAUAUUGAACUUAAAAUCUAUCCAUUUUACUAUAGAGAUGGAUAAGAUAUUUUGAUACAACGGCAUCUUGAUACCAUCGGGAACGGUAAAAAAAAUUGAAAAAUUGGAUCUAUGUCCAAUGGAUCACACCUACCAAGAAAAAUUAUUUUGUUUUCGUUCGGCAUAUAAUCAUAUAUGAAAUAGCGGACAGUAUAAAUUUAGAAACAGUUUUCCCCCGAUACCCAUUGCAGGAAAGUGAUAAUCUAGAACUUAUAGUUGUAAAUUAUAUUCUUUAUAGAUACGGAAAACCAAUUCGGGGAAUUUUUGGCCGUAAACGAUGGAUACUAGGCACCGUGCGUAUCGACUCAUGCAGUGCUGUAAUAACGCAUUAAGUAUCCCGCCUAAGGAGUACGUUCACCAGAAUGAAACUCAAAGGAAUGGACGAUGGCCUACACAAGCGGUGGAACAUGUGGUUUAAUUCGAUGCAAAGCAAAGAACCUUACUAAGGCUUGACAUGCCGCGAAUCCUUUUGAAAAAGAGGGGUGCCUUUGGGAACGUUGGCACUGGUGGUGCAUGGCUGUCAUCAGCUCGUGACAUAAGGUGUUUGGUAAAGUCCCACAUCAAGUGCAACCCUCAUGUUUAGUUUCCACCGUUUAGUUUAGAACCCUGAGCAGACUGCUGGUGAUAAGCUGGAGGAAGGUGAGGAUGAUGUCAAGUCAUCAUGCCCCUUAUGCCCUGGGCGACACACAUGCUACAAUGGCUGGGACAAAGGGUUGCCAUCCCGUGCGGGUGAGCUAACUCCAAAAACCCAUCCUCAGUUAGGAUUGUAGGCUGUAACUUGCCUACAUGAAGCUGAAAUCACUAGUAAUCACCGGUUAGUCAUACAGCAGUAAAUUCAUUCCCGGGCCUUGUACACACCGCCCAUCACACUAUGGGAGCUGGCCAUGCCCGAAGUCAU